Long non-coding RNA from Bradysia coprophila, 146 nucleotides. NCBI's taxonomy places the organism in Eukaryota, Metazoa, Arthropoda, Insecta, Diptera, Sciaridae. The record is from RefSeq and is a predicted model, not a curated record.
UCUUUAUAACUUGUAGUGAUAAAAAUUCGUUCAAUUUUUCGUGUAACCUUUAAACUCACCACAGAAAUUUUGCAUCUCUGAGCAUCUAGUACAAUUUGGAUCCGCCAUUUUAUGUUUGUUUACGUACUUUUGCCUGUAACGGCACG